This 376-nucleotide unclassified non-coding RNA is filed under the name Hevea brasiliensis (rubber tree). The record is from RNAcentral. Lineage: Eukaryota; Viridiplantae; Streptophyta; Magnoliopsida; Malpighiales; Euphorbiaceae.
AAACACAGGAUUCAUCUGUUCUUGCACAGCUGGGGUGGCCUGAUAUGCGCCUACCAAUUCUAUGCACUAUGUCAUGGCCCGAGAGAAUAUACUGCUCUGAAAUAACCUGGCCUCGCCUUGAUCUUUGCAAGCUUGGGUCUCUAACAUUUAAAGCUCCUGACAAUGUAAAAUACCCAUCCAUGGAUCUUGCCUAUGCUGCUGGUCGGGCUGGAGGCACCAUGACCGGAGUGCUUAGUGCUGCUAAUGAGAAAGCUGUAGAGAUGUUCAUAGAUGAAAAGAUCAGCUAUCUUGAUAUUUUCAAGAUUGUGGAGCUAACUUGUGAUAAACAUAGGGCAGAAUUGGUGACCUCACCCUCUCUCGAGGAAAUUAUACAUUA